Molecule: long non-coding RNA, 3004 nt
Filed under: Heterocephalus glaber (naked mole-rat)
Lineage: Eukaryota; Metazoa; Chordata; Mammalia; Rodentia; Bathyergidae
Description: lncRNA (ENSHGLG00100038507.1)
Source: RNAcentral
GUCCGCGGCUGGCAGUCAGCGCUCGCACCAUGCCCACCAACUUCACUGUGGUGCCCGUGGAGGGCGCGCGCGGGCGUCGGCGGGGCCGGGGCCGGGGACGAGGCGGUGGAGCGCACCGAGGCGCCAGGGAUCCCCGCGGACGGCGAGCCUGAGCGCCCCAGCUGGGAAACCACCAGCUCUGUCAUGCUCCAAGGCAGAAGAGGACCUGCCGAAACUGGCUAUUUCUGUGUCCCGCCCCAUCUGGCCCAGGACCUCCCAGAGCUGAGGCAUUGGGCAGUGGUGCUGUCCAUUGCCCUGUUCCACGGAGUGGAAUCGAGUCCUAAGUUUGGCCUGGCAUGGCCUGGGUGCAGACCAGCCCUCUGGAGGCGUCAUGCGUGGGCCAUGGAUGGCAGGUCCUGGCCUCCUGAUGGGAAAGCAGAGCUGUGAAUGGGGCGAGUUGAGCAUUUUCAGUCUUUAAAUGUGGGGUGCCCCGAGACAGGCUUACAGGCGGAGGGACUGAAUGGUGGGCGUUGGCAUCCUGGGUCCCCUGAGACCUCCAGCCGUCCCAUGCAUGAGCAUCUGGCCAGCUGACCGGUGCAGCUGUGUGUUACUGCCAGGCCUCCUCCCCCAGCAGACGGCAGGUGUCUGGGUCCUAUCCUCCCGACUGGGACGGCAGCUGCAUCUAAGGGCCUGGCUGAGGACACCUGAUUGGUCACCUGGCUGUCCCAUGUCACGUCAUUUGUCUGCUUCAUUCGGCCCACAGAGGCUGCCCUAGCAGUGCCCAGCGCCUGGGGACCCUGCUGGGGAGACGCAGCAGGUGGAGCAGGUCCAAGCCCUCCCUGCAGUGCUAGCCCUGGCCCUCCCUGGAUCCUUCCAGCCACCAUGAACGGGCAGACUGGUGGGGACAGGGACUCCAGUGCAGGUGAGUGGCUUUGUCCCUGAGCCCAGGGGGUCGUGGCCGGUAACUUGGACCCUGGUCCAGGAGUGUGAGGGGCUGUCCCGGGCGGGUGUGUGAGCCCUCUGUGUGUGGACUGGAUGGGCCGGGAAUGGGCUGUGUAGUACGUGGUCUCCUGUGUGCAUUUAAAAUCAAGGUGGUCUUAGUGCAAACUUCAGUUCUAAAUCCUUUCUCAGAAAACAAACGGAAUCCCAGCUACUCAGGAGAAUCAUAAAUUCGAGGCCAGCCUGAGCAAUUUAGCAAGAUGUUAUCUCAAAAAUGGAAAGGGCCGAGGGUCUAGCUCGGUGGGAGACCAGUUUCCUCGCAUGUGCAGGGCCCUGGGUUCCAUGUGCAAACAAAGAGCCAGAAGCUAAAACUUGAGUGUGUUUGGAUUUAAAAGAGUUAGAGGAGAUCUUAAAGUCAAAAAUCACCAGGCAGUGAGGUGGGCUGUGGUGCCUUCAGUUUACGGAAGGGAAGUAGUGUCUCGAAGGUGGGUGGGUAGGGUGAGGCGGGAUGUCUCUGGGACAUCUUGCACGGGAACCUGUUCCUCUCCCGGUUAUUGGCUCUGGGUAGAAACAGCCGCAUCCCCCGUGGCUGUGUCCUUCCUGCCCGGUCACUUCACUGAGUUUCGAAAGGGAUCCUCUCACAGUGGAGAGGCUGGCCUUGUAAAGGGUGGCUGCGGCUGGAGUUGUGGCUUGGGGCUCAUCAGAUAAGAGAAAACGCGUGCGGUUGGUUGCAGACGCGGCCGCUUUCGUCGCAGUCCCCAAAUCGGAAGGAUUUACCACAGUCCGGAGGGUGUGCCUCGCUCCCCUUCUAGUUUCCUGGGUUUUCUUUACUUCUCCACCCACAUCACUGUGAUGAGCCCCAGCAUGAGAUCCAGGGCUCCCUGAGCCCACAUGUGGGUUGGGAGUGUGACCCCCGAGGCCUGGCCUGGCCUGUGUUUGUGCGGUGUUUACUUCGUGAUGUCUCCCUGGGUCUCAGCCACCCUCACGGUAAACGCGGCCAGGUAUUCGCGCCGCCUGAAUGGGCUGGGCUUUCUUUCCUGCUGCCCACACCCUGCGGUGCUUUGUUCUCUGAGUGGGAAGGUGGGGGCCACCUCCCAGCUCAGCCAGACAAGAUGCCCCAGAACGCAGAGCUCCUGUGUCACUGUCACUGCUCCCUGGGGCGCCAGUCUGGGAAGGACAGUUGUUUCCCUGCUCUCCGAACAGCUGUGUGUGCGCAUUUCCGGCGUUGCGGAUAAACAGCUGUGGGCCACUGAGCCCCCAGCCACGCCAGGCUGUGCCCUCCCAAGCUGGCGGAGGGCACCACUUGCCCCUCCUCCUGCUCGGCUGCCUCUGCCUGGGAUGAGGAACUUGAGCUGCAGCAGCCGGUGACCUUGCCCAAGGUCGUGAGCCUGGCGUUGGCUCCGUCAGAGGGAGAAUCUGAAACCCAUGUACUCCCCUGCUGGGGGCAGCCGGGCUCUGUCCCAUACCCUGGGCCCUCUGGGUCCCCUGUGUGUGACUCCUGGGGCGUCUUCUGCACGCUGUCAUUGGUGCUGGUCUCUGUCACUGAUUGUGCCAGGACCCUGAUGCACGAGGGAGCAGGCCGGAGACCAGGGAGGCCUGUCUCACCCAGGGCUGCAGGCCCAGGAGAGGUGUUGGCUCCUUCUCUCCAGCGUGAGGGGCUCGGACCUUUCUUUGUGCCCGUGCUGGUUCAGCCUUGGACGUUGAGAAAGUGGCAAGAACCCCGGCUCUUUGCAUGCACUCCACCUGGAUUCCCUGAGUGGUGGCUUUGGCUGCACCUGCCUCAUGCCCCUGCCUUCCCCCUCCCCUGCUCUACCUCUCACGUGCACACACGUGCACACAGGCACGCGCACACACGCACACGCACACACACACGCCUCUGAGCUGUUGGAGAGCACAGCAGACGACGGUGCUGCUUACUCCUUCUUCGCUUUGUUUUCUGCAAGUACAGUUACCAAACCGGAGCACCAAGACUGAUACAAUAAAUAUGUGCCGUCCUCAGGUUUCACCGUGAAGGGGCUGGGGAUGUAGCUCAGUGGUGCUGCACCUGCCUGGCAAGCACAAGGUCCCGAGUUCGAUUCCUGAUACC